ACUAGCACAUCCAUCUGUUGUGCUCUGGAAAAAAAAAGGCCUGACAUCUCCUGACGUCAAAACCCCAAACCGACUGCUGUCGGUUGCCGGAUUGAUUUGCCAACUGCUUCAGAGGCACAAGCGUGAUGCUGGAACACGUGCCGACGUCCCCCGAGAGAGUUUGCAUUCCUCUGAGUGGUUACUGCACAUCAGCUCCGUCAGUCUGAUUUACAUUACAAAUUAAGAAUCAUCUGAUCAAG
Epinephelus lanceolatus (giant grouper) is the source of this 239-nucleotide non-coding RNA. Lineage: Eukaryota; Metazoa; Chordata; Actinopteri; Perciformes; Serranidae. The record is from RefSeq and is a predicted model, not a curated record.